CAGUCGCCGCGGUAAUACGUAGGUGGCAAGCGUUGUCCGGAAUUAUUGGGCGUAAAGGGCUCGCAGGCGGUUUCUUAAGUCUGAUGUGAAAGCCCCCGGCUCAACCGGGGAGGGUCAUUGGAAACUGGGAAACUUGAGUGCAGAAGAGGAGAGUGGAAUUCCACGUGUAGCGGUGAAAUGCGUAGAGAUGUGGAGGAACACCAGUGGCGAAGGCGACUCUCUGGUCUGUGACUGACGCUGAGGAGCGAAAGCGUGGGGAGCGAACAGGAUUAGAUACCCCGGUAGUCCCUGUCUCUUAUAC
RNAcentral lists this ribosomal RNA (301 nucleotides) under uncultured bacterium. RNAcentral describes it as "partial 16S ribosomal RNA". It matches the Rfam family "Bacterial small subunit ribosomal RNA", at positions 509 to 807 of the family's 1533-position model. The record is from RNAcentral.